RNAcentral lists this ribosomal RNA (494 nucleotides) under uncultured bacterium. RNAcentral's name for it is "partial 16S ribosomal RNA". It matches the Rfam family "Bacterial small subunit ribosomal RNA", at positions 28 to 507 of the family's 1533-position model. The record is from RNAcentral.
GACGAACGCUGGCGGCGCGCUUAACACAUGCAAGUCGAACGGAAAGGCCUGCUUUCCCUUGUGGAUUGCGGGUACUCGAGUGGCGAACGGGUGAGUAACACGUGAGUGAUCUGCCCCCAACUUGGGUAUAAGCCUGGGAAACUGGGUCUAAUUCCCGAUAGGACUGCAGGGUGGUGCCUGUGGUGGAACACGAUUUUCUAGUGGUUGGGGAUGAGCUCGCGGCCUAUCAGCUUGUUGGUGGGGUAAUGGCCUACCAAGGCGGCGACGGGUAGCCGGCCUGGGAGGGUGGACGGCCACAUUGGGACUGGGAUACGGCCCAGACUCCUACGGGAGGCAGCAGUGGGGAAUAUUGCACAAUGGGCGGAAGCCUGAUGCAGCGACGCCGCGUGGGGGAUGACGGCCUUCGGGUUGUAAACUCCUUUCGACCGCGAGGAAGCCACCUGGUUGGAAGGGUGGUGACGGUAGUGGUAGAAGAAGCACCGGCUAACUACGUG